Long non-coding RNA from Candoia aspera, 467 nucleotides. RefSeq lists it as uncharacterized. The transcript is spliced from 3 exons. Lineage: Eukaryota; Metazoa; Chordata; Lepidosauria; Squamata; Candoiidae. The record is from RefSeq and is a predicted model, not a curated record.
UGGAGGAAGUUCAGUCCCGCUCUUUCCUCCUCGCUAAAGUCUCCUUGGCAGCCGCGCUCGCUGUUGGCAAGAGAUGCACCGAUCUGGAGCGGAGCAGCGCGCGAGAAAAAUUGCAAAGGGAAGCCAGCCCAGGCGCUUGGAGAGACUCGUGGCUUUGCCCUUUCCCAAUGACGUAGUGUCCUGAGCCCUUCCCCUCCCCCCCCUUUCCCCUUACAUCUUUGGAAGCCACAAUUAAGCAGCACCGCUGGGAUAAAACGCUCGGGCUGCCAGCGGACUAGGGCAUUGCGUCGAAAGAUGGCCAGGCUGCGGACUGCGUUCCUCCUCCCUGGAGCCCUCGUCCUCCUGCUUUCCCGCCUCCCGGCUUCGUGGCAAGGAGGGGUUCCAGGUGCUGGAGUAGGAGUUCCAGGAGUAGGAUACUACCCAGGAGCAGGUGGCAUUGGAGGCCUAGGUGGACUCGGGGGCACAGG